GUCUGGGUGGCUCAGUUGGUUGAGCAUGUGACUUCAGCUCAGGUCAUGAUCUCACAGUUUGUGGGUUCAAGCCCCACGUCGGGCU
RNAcentral lists this transfer RNA (85 nucleotides) under Felis catus (domestic cat). It matches the Rfam family "tRNA". From Rfam's summary of the family: Transfer RNA (tRNA) molecules are approximately 80 nucleotides in length. Their secondary structure includes four short double-helical elements and three loops (D, anti-codon, and T loops). The record is from Rfam by way of RNAcentral. RNAcentral also lists the same sequence under 4 other names. Lineage: Eukaryota; Metazoa; Chordata; Mammalia; Carnivora; Felidae.